Molecule: ribosomal RNA, 242 nt
Filed under: uncultured prokaryote
Description: partial 16S ribosomal RNA
Rfam family: Bacterial small subunit ribosomal RNA
Source: RNAcentral
UACAGAGGGUGCAAGCGUUAAUCGGAUUUACUGGGCGUAAAGGGUGCGUAGGUGGUUUUGUAAGUCGGAUGUGAAAGCCCGGGGCUCAACCUCGGAAUUGCAUUCGAUACUGCGAGACUAGAGUUCGGUAGAGGGCGGCGGAAUUCCCGGUGUAGCGGUGAAAUGCGUAGAUAUCGGGAGGAACAUCAAUGGCGAAGGCAGCCGCCUGGGCCUGGACUGACACUGAGGCACGAAGGCGUGGG